This 3711-nucleotide long non-coding RNA is filed under the name Homo sapiens (human). RNAcentral's name for it is "HSALNT0121476". The record is from RNAcentral. Lineage: Eukaryota; Metazoa; Chordata; Mammalia; Primates; Hominidae.
GGAACCAAGAGGCAGAGGGGGAAGUCCUGGGUAUUUAAUUCCUCUGCCUUUGAUGUAGAUGGUCCAGUCCUGACUUUCCAGCUGAGUGGAGACUUGCUCUUGGUUUCCACAUGCAACAGUGACCUGCUUGAACCCCACAGGGAGGAAGAUGGAGGAUGCCUCACGAGUAUUGAGGGGUUUUACUGUCACCUAGGCUGGAGUGACAUCAUCAGAGUUCACUGCAGCCUCGAUCUGCUGGGCUCAAGCCAUCCUCCCACCUAAGCCUCCCGAAGAGCUAAGACCACAGGUGUGCACCACCACCCCAAGCUAAUUUUUGUAUUUUUAGUAGAGACAGGGUCUUGCCAUGUUGGCCAGGCUGGUCUCAAACUCCUGGGCUCAAGUGAUCUGCCCGCCUCAGCCUCCCAAAAUGCUGGGAUUACAGGCAUGAGCCACCAUGCCUGGCCAUGACCUAGUGGUUCUUGAAGUCUUUAAACCAGCCUUCACUUGCACUAAGAAAAAGUACUUCGAUGCACUUUUAAUUUUUUUUAAGUCUUCAUUUAUUAUCAUGCCUCUUCUUCUUUCAUUGUGAGAAAACUUGUGAGAUCUUUUUUUUUUCUUUUUUUUUUCUGAGAUGGAGUUUUGCUCUUGUUGCCCAGGCUGGAGUGCGGUGGCGCAAUCUCGGCUCACUACAACCUCCGCCUCCUGGGUUCCGGCAAUUCUCCUGCCUCAUCCUGCCUCAGCCUCUCAAGUGGCUGGGAUUACAGGCGUCCACCAGCACACCUGGCUAAUUUUUUUUUUUUAAGUAGAGACGGGGUUUCACCAUGUUGGCCAGGCUGGUCUUGAACUCCUGACCUCAGGUGAUCCACCCGCCUCAACCUCCCAAAAUGCUGGGAUUACAGGCAUGAGACACUGCGCCUGGCCAUGAGAUCAUUUUAAAACAUUAAUGUACUGGGAAGAAUCAAAUAUGAACUACAAGAUGUGUUAUAAACAUCACUCCCUUGUUUACUAACCGUGUAUGAGCUAAUUUGCAGCAAGGAUCAGGCAUUGUAACAGCCUCAUGAAGUUGUGAAGAUUAAACGAAGUGACACAUGUGAAUCAUUGAGGACAAUGCUGGGCAAAUAAUGCAGAGAUUCUUUUCUGCAGCUCAGACACCAGCCAGAAGAGACAACACAAAAAGAGAGAGAAAGAUGCUGUAUUCUUCCUACCUGUGUCCCAGAAUCCUGAACAGCCGCCGGUGUGCAGGGCCUGGUGGGAAGUGACGUUGCUGCAGAAGCUGCAGUGCUGACGAGGAGGGCAGCAUCCCUCAGAGAGAAGGACACCACAGAGAGUCCCUACCAGCCAGGAGGCUCUCACCAGAUGCGCCCCCUUGACCUUGGACCUCCUAGCUUCAAAAACUGUCAUACAAGACACUCUGUCUUGCUCUCUUGAAUUGCCUGCUCUGGUGGAAGCCAGCCAGCUUCUGCCAUGUCAUGAGAACACUCAUGCAGCCCUGGGAAGAGUCCACGUGGUGAGGAACUGAGGCCUCCUGCCAACAGCCAAGUGAAAGCACCAUCCUGGAAGAGGACCCUCCAGCCCUCAUUAAGUCUGUCAAGCCUUGAGAUGAAUGAACCAACACUAUGAAUGUAACUUCACGAGAGGCUCUGAGCCAGAACCACUCAGCUAAGCCACAGUUCUCUUUAGAAGACUAAAAAAAAGAAGAAGGCAGUUCUACCAAAUUGUUUCAGGCAUCUCUCUCCUCUUCUGCUAUGUGAGUAUAAUCAUGCUAAGCUUAUUUCUACUUUAAGCACAUUACCCUAGCUGUUCCUUUUUCCUAGGGAACUUUUCUCCCAGAUAUUUGCAAGACUAGCCUUCUCCUGUCACGUAGAUGUCAGCUUUCAAAUCCCGUCCUCAGAAAUGUCUUUCCUGUUUCUAAUCUGCAGUGGCCUUGUCCCCCCACUCCCAGCUCUCUUGUUUCACCAUCUUCUGUUUUCUUUGUGGCACCAUGUCUAUCAGAAAACAUAUUCUAUCUGAUAAUUCUGGUUUACUGCUUAUGUAUUUAUUGUCUGUGUUCCUUCACUAGAACACAAGUUUUGUAUUUAUCACUCUAGGCUUUUAUUGUCAACCAUGUUCGCAGGCUUUAGUGAUAGGGUAGGUGGAUUGGAGACGGGGAAGGAAAAGGGGAGGGGAACAAAAACCAAAACUGCCUGGACAGGGCAGAUGCCAAGAACACCUGGGGCAUGGAAUUAGGAAAGGGAGGUUUGUAGGUUUGUAGAGGAAACACUUCUGAAGGGCCACAAGAUGUGUGACAAUAAGAGGGGAAAAGAACAACACUUUUAAAGAAGUGCUAUUGGGUGUGUUUAUGUUCCUUGAGAGAUUCAGGAAAAGACGAAAGUACUCUUUAAUUAUUUUGAUUGCAGUAAUGUGUAUAUAUGACCAUGAUGCCCUAUGUAAAAAGUAGCCUGGAUUUCACAAUCCAAGAGGUAGGCCUUGUUAGAACACCGUCCUCUGCUGAAAUUCUGGUUUUGUGUAUCAGUCUCCAUAAAGGUAGUCCCUAGAAUAAUACAGAAUUACUUUUGGGUCUCUAUAACUAAGGAUUCUGGAACAGCCCCUCACUCUGCUGCCAGUGGGGCUAGACAGUACUCAGCACAUAAUGAGAACUGAAGAAAUGUUAUCUCCUAGGGAGACUGCAGUGUUCAUGAGCCAGGCAGAAGGAAGAUGGUAUAGAUGGUGCUGGGGAGGCAAACUGAGGCUCUCCCCCAAUCGUAGGUCAAUGGGGGAAAUACUGGGGGGGAAAGAGAGGGAGGGAGGGACAGGGAGAGGGGGAGAGAGAGAGAGAGAGGGAGAGAGAGAGAGAGAGAGAGAGAGAGAGAGAGAGAGAGGUGGCUCUUAUUUGAAUAAAGUAUUAUUAUUGGACUUGAUCUUUUGGGAGAAUACAGUGAGAAGAGAACAUUCUAGAAAAUGGCUGCUUGUUGAAAUAGGGGCAGAAAGACCUGGUACUACUCGUUCCCCAACCUUUUAACUUGUAAAGAGUCAUGGGUUAAUAUGCUGCCCUAGGCAUCGUAAGUGUACCCAGGGCAUUUUGGUAGUUAAGUGUCAAGUAAACUGUCUGAAGGUCCGCAAAUGGGAUAUUUAGAAUGCCUGACUGAACAGAUAGACCUCUGCCCAAGAGCCUGAUGAUGAGUAAGCAGCCACUUUGGCAGAUGGCCAGGGCAAAGGGUUCCAAGUCUGAGUACCACUGAUGAGAAUGUCUCAUCAUUUGAGAUUUGAGAUUAAAACUCUAAAGACUCAAACUUCUUGGUGCACCUGUUUGCAUCCCUGGUGGGGACAGGCCUGGAGGAGAGGGGGUCUGUCUAACACACUUAAGUCCCAGCCACCUUUCCAAGUGGUCUUGACCAAGGACAGCACACGCAUUCUUGACAUGUUCACUUGUGGACCACCUUGGUGUAAGGAAAUCAGGACUGGGGGGACAAACUCGGAUAUAGCUUUCAAGAUAUGAUCAGGCAUGAAAAUGAAAGUAACAUGUUGAAUAGGUGAAAGAAAAUUUUAUUUUAAAUUCUUUUUGAAUAAUAGCACAUUCUCAAGAAAUCCCUAGAAUUAAGUAUUUUUGUCAAUUAUUUAGUAAGUGCCUAAUUUGCUCUUGCUAGGGAAGAAAAUUACAUGGUUGUUCCUAAAUUAUUAAACAAUAUUUUCAUGGCAUUGACAGAGCAAGUAGCAAGGUAUUGACCAGUCACCCUGCUAUAGGAAAACUCUUGG